ACUCCUACGGGAGGCAGCAGUGGGGAAUAUUGCACAAUGGGGGGAACCCUGAUGCAGCGACGCCGCGUGAGCGAAGAAGGUUUUCGAAUCGUAAAGCUCUGUCCUAUGAGAAGAUAAUGACGGUAUCAUAGGAGGAAGCCCCGGCUAAAUACGUGCCAGCAGCCGCGGUAAUACGUAUGGGGCGAGCGUUGUCCGGAAUUAUUGGGCGUAAAGGGUACGUAGGCGGUUUUUUAAGUCAGGUGUGAAAGCGUGAGGCUUAACCUCAUUAAGCACUUGAAACUGGAAGACUUGAGUGAAGGAGAGGAAAGUGGAAUUCCUAGUGUAGCGGUGAAAUGCGUAGAUAUUAGGAGGAAUACCGGUGGCGAAGGCGACUUUCUGGACUUUUACUGACGCUCAGGUACGAAAGCGUGGGGAGCAAACAGGAUUAGAAACCCCGGUAGUCCAGAAGUG
Molecule: ribosomal RNA, 450 nt
Filed under: uncultured bacterium
Lineage: Bacteria
Description: bacterial SSU rRNA
Rfam family: Bacterial small subunit ribosomal RNA
Source: RNAcentral